Mytilus californianus (California mussel) is the source of this 1216-nucleotide long non-coding RNA. RefSeq lists it as uncharacterized. The transcript has 3 exons. Lineage: Eukaryota; Metazoa; Mollusca; Bivalvia; Mytilida; Mytilidae. The record is from RefSeq and is a predicted model, not a curated record.
UUUCGAUUUACGUACAGUGAUGUUUUGUAUUAUUGCCAUUGGAAUAUUUAUUUUGAGUACAGCUGGAACAGUACUCCUGUCGAAAGGGAUACGACGUAAAAAUGUUAUACAUAUAAUUGGUCCACAUGAAAGAUGUCCUACAGUUCCAAUAUAUCAUACAGCUCCAGCUUUUGAUACUACGCCGAAUGUAUAUGCCACCCCAGAAACAGGAUACCUACAGGUUACCAAUGAAGAAUGUGAACUGGAUCAUGUUCAAGAUACUGAAAACAAGGGCGGGGAAAAUUACACAUCGAGAUACAUGAGCUCUAAUUAUGAUGAAAUUGAUGUUUGAAAAAGUAACCUAUAGCUGCUUACUUUUAAUAUUAAAGGGAUUUUGGUAGUUGUCUCAUUGGCACCCGUUUUUCAUUUACUUAUGUUUAAACGUAUGAUUUGGUUUGAAAGCCAAAUAUAUCAACAAAGAAUGGAAUGUGGACUCGGUUUGACAUCAAACAAUUUUAUAGCUGUAAAGUAUAAGACAUUGUGUUAUUGUGCUAUGGCCAUAUUUUGUGUCAUUGUCUUUAAUUUUUGAUUAUGUGCUCUGUCUAUAUGCCAUUUUGUUUUUCUUUGUUGACAUAUUUGUUUGUUUUUAAAGUGAUUUAGAUAUUAACACAAUGGUGACUGCAGUACCCGUAUUUUUGACAUUUUUACAUAUUAUGUCUGUUUGUUUUGCUUACAAAUUGUCAAUUAUAAUGGAAUUCUAUGCGACUGUCAUGCAAGUGAGAGGUUUAGCUAGUUACAAAACCAGGUUUAAUCCACCAUUAUCUAUAUAAGGAAAUACCUUUUCAACGUCAGUAAUAUGACAGUUGUUUUCCAUUCGAUUUGAUGUGUUUGAACUUCUCAUUUUUUUCCAUUUUGAAUUUUCCAUUGAGUUCGUUAAUUUUGUUAUUUUACUUUUUAUGCUUUUUUAUAUUUAGUUUAUCUUUCUGUUAAGCAGUAUAUUCAAUUUCUGAAGUUGAAAACUGUCUCAUAAGGAAUGUAUUGGCAUUGAUCUCGUUUUUGGUAGUUUCUCGGUGUCCCUGUAUUGAUUUAAGUAUAACGAAAAACUAUAUAUAAACAGGGUCUCAAUUCAAAAUGCAAAUCAAAGUGAGAUUAUUUUUUUUCCUCGUUGCUUUGCAAAUCUAAUGCAUUUUCAAUCUGAGAAAGAGAGCAAAAGGAAUAAACAAAUUGUAUCUUGAUA